Molecule: ribosomal RNA, 492 nt
Filed under: uncultured bacterium
Lineage: Bacteria
Description: partial 16S ribosomal RNA
Rfam family: Bacterial small subunit ribosomal RNA
Source: RNAcentral
AGUGAACGCUGGCGGUAGGCUUAACACAUGCAAGUCGAACGGCAGCACAGUAAGAGCUUGCUCUUACGGGUGGCGAGUGGCGGACGGGUGAGGAAUACAUCGGAAUCUACUCUUUCGUGGGGGAUAACGUAGGGAAACCUACGCCAAUACCGCAUCCGACCUUCGGGUGAAAGCAUGGGAUCUUCUGACCUUGCGCGAUUGAAUGAGCCGAUGACGGAUUAGCUAGUUGGCGGGGUAAAGGCCCACCAAGGCGACGAUCCGUAGCUGAUCUGAGAGGAUGGUCGGCCGCACGAGAACUGAGACACGGUCCAGGCUACUGCGGGAGGCAGCAGUGGGGAAUAAUGGGCAAUAGGCGCAAGCCUGAUCCAACCAUACCGCGUAGGUGGAGGAGACCUUCAGGUUGUAAAGCCCUUUUGUUGGGAAAGAAGAGCAGCAGGUUAAUACCCCGCUGUUCUGACGGUACCCGGUGAAUAAGCACCGGCUAACUUCGUG